GCGUCGGUGGCUCAGAGGUUAAGCAGUUGAUUUGUAAUCUAUAAAUCCUGGGUUCGAAUCCCGCCAUGUA
This 70-nucleotide transfer RNA is filed under the name Papilio machaon (common yellow swallowtail). It matches the Rfam family "tRNA". From Rfam's summary of the family: Transfer RNA (tRNA) molecules are approximately 80 nucleotides in length. Their secondary structure includes four short double-helical elements and three loops (D, anti-codon, and T loops). Further hydrogen bonds mediate the characteristic L-shaped molecular structure. tRNAs have two regions of fundamental functional importance: the anti-codon, which is responsible for specific mRNA codon recognition, and the 3' end, to which the tRNAs corresponding amino acid is attached (by aminoacyl-tRNA synthetases). tRNAs cope with the degeneracy of the genetic code in two manners: having more than one tRNA (with a specific anti-codon) for a particular amino acid; and 'wobble' base-pairing, i.e. permitting non-standard base-pairing at the 3rd anti-codon position. Lineage: Eukaryota; Metazoa; Arthropoda; Insecta; Lepidoptera; Papilionidae. The record is from Rfam by way of RNAcentral.